AGUGAACGCUGGCGGUAGGCCUAACACAUGCAAGUCGAACGGCAGCACAGUAAGAGCUUGCUCUUACGGGUGGCGAGUGGCGGACGGGUGAGGCAUACAUCGGAAUCUACUUUUUCGGGGGGGAUAACGUGGGGAAACUUAUGCUAAUACCGCAUACGACCUACGGGUGAAAGCAGGAGAUCUUCGGACCUUUCGCGAUUCAAUGGGACGAUGUCGGAUUAGCUUGUUGGCGGGGUAAAGGCCCACCAAGGCGACGAUCCGUAGCUGGUCUGAGAGGAUGAUCAGCCACACUGGAACUGAGACACGGUCCAGACUCCUACGGGAGGCAGCAGUGGGGAAUAUUGGACAAUGGGCGAAAGCCUGAUCCAGCAAUACCGCGUGGGUGAAGAAGGCCUUCGGGUUGUAAAGCCCUUUUGUUGGGAAAGAAAAGCAGCAGGUUAAUACCCCGCUGUUCUGACGGUACCCAAAGAAUAAGCACCGGCUAACUUCGUG
This 492-nucleotide ribosomal RNA is filed under the name uncultured bacterium. RNAcentral describes it as "partial 16S ribosomal RNA". It matches the Rfam family "Bacterial small subunit ribosomal RNA", at positions 29 to 507 of the family's 1533-position model. The record is from RNAcentral.